RNAcentral lists this ribosomal RNA (240 nucleotides) under uncultured Bacillus sp. Its description in RNAcentral is "partial 16S ribosomal RNA". It matches the Rfam family "Bacterial small subunit ribosomal RNA", at positions 196 to 430 of the family's 1533-position model. The record is from RNAcentral. Lineage: Bacteria; Bacillati; Bacillota; Bacilli; Caryophanales; Bacillaceae.
AAACAUAAAAGGUGGCUUCGGUUACCACUUACAGAUGGACCCGCGGCGCAUUAGCUAGUUGGUGAGGUAAUGGCUCACCAAGGCGACGAUGCGUAGCCGACCUGAGAGGGUGAUCGGCCACACUGGGACUGAGACACGGCCCAGACUCCUACGGGAGGCAGCAGUAGGGAAUCUUCCGCAAUGGACGAAAGUCUGACGGAGCAACGCCGCGUGAGUGAUGAAGGUUUUCGGAUUGUAAAG